CAAACUUCCUGAAGUUAGUUUAUGGUAUUCCAAAGCAAUACAGUCCUUGUCGGACUCUAGAGCACAGAAAAAGAUAAACCUAGAUUGGAAAAAAGAGAUCUGGACCAUCUGGUUAUUUUACAAGAUCAGCUGUCAAAAAGAGGGUACUCAUUAGGCUCCUGUAACAUAAUGCUGUAUUUCUUCAUUCAACUGUCACCAAUUUGGGGAUUUUACAGACUUUACUGCGCAGCAGGUCAAAAUAAUUGCUUUUCAGAGAAAGAGAAGACUAGACGUACAAACAGUAAGCAUCAGUGUGUGAACUAAACACACUUCCAAAGAAACAUCAGAUUUAACCACCUUCAUAUGCCUGAUGCCACCUACAUCAUAAGAGACCUGCCAAAGUAAUAAACGGAAAAAAAAAAAAGAAAAAAGGAGAGAGAGAGAGAGAGAGAGAGAGAGAGAGAGAGAGAGAGAGACGGAAUCAGGAUUUGAAAUUUUCUCCCUGCUCCUCCUCACCCCCAACAACUUCAUUGUACAACCAACUACUUCAAACAAUCAACAAAUAUGUGAGCGAGAGAGAAAGGAGAGAAGAUGAGAGAUGGUCUGUCUGAGGUAAACGAAAUACCACCUUAAACGAUCACAGUCAGUGACGUCCAGUCAUAUGACCAUUGCAGCAGCCAAAAUAACUACACCUAAUUCCAUCCGGUUUAUAACAUCAUUCUUCCUGCUAUCCAUCUCGGACCAAUAUGAACUACUCCAACUCUGUUUUUGGUAGCUUCUUACUACCGUCCAAGUUCAGAGUAUCAGCCAGGUUGUCUGACAGUUGAUUAAUUGGAUCAGCAAGAGCAAUAGUAGAGUUUCCUGUCACACUAGCUCGUUGCUUUGCCUUCUUUUCCAACAAGGCUUUCUCCCGCUCAUCAUAGAAUGUAAAAUCAUCUAAAAGGGAUGUAUCAGCUUCAUAGUCCUUGAAAAUCUUAAGCAUUUCAAUUCCAUGCUCAAGUUUCACCUGGAUAGAAAUCAGUGGUUAGUCAUAAUGGGAAAAUAGCAAAUUCAACAAAAUAAUUUAAAGCAGUUACUAGGAAGGAUCAAAACUUUGAAAAACUUGCUAGAACUCUCAAAAGUAUCAAGCUUUGUCUGUAACCUCUAGAAAGAUGGAUGACAUUUAUCUCAACAUCCCAAAGGGCCUAUACAAGACCCACAUGUCAAUGGUGACACAAAAACCAAAGACAAGUAGAUCAAUUAGUGUUUUCCACCCAUGCUCGGAAUUUUCUUGAGCAAAAAAGAUGCUGUUUCAAAACCAUGUCUAAUUCUUUGUGCUCAUUACAAAUUUUGGGACGGUAGAGGUGGGGGAAGAGGAGAUAAAUAAGAUGUAACUCUAAUUUAAGGGGAUAAUUCAAAGCUCAACAGCUUCAUACUCAGAAACACAAUUUCAGGACACAAGUAAAACAAAUACAGAACCCCUCACCUCUUGAGAGUCUCGACUGUGAGUAACAGGCUUGUUGUCAUUAUUUUCAAGAAGUAUGUGGCGGAACCGACUAUUGGGCACAUCUUUGACAACAUGCCAUUUCACAGGGAACUGCCCGCUCCACCUAUCCUGCUGCCAGUACUCCGCAUCAUUUUCAAAAUCAACAGGUCCAACCAUCUCAGCUAUCCCACAAAACUGUCCACUAGCAUUUACCUGAAGGAUACAAAUAGUACAUCGGCAAAAGGUCUUUAAACUAUCAAAUUAAUGCCCAGGGUAAGGUUGAGGCAAUGAAAAAGCUAUGUAUCUAGUAUAAUUAUAAAAAAAAUAAAUAAAUACUGUUUACAUUCAAUAAGGUCACUUUUGGUUACACGUAGUGAGUUCAUUCUUCCAUUAGCCGAUUCACAAUGGAUCUUGGUCAUUGAUGUGUAAGUUACACGACCUCACAAGUCCCCAGACCAUCUAUACAAAUAUUUACAGGUGUUUUCCCUAUCAGCAGGUUAAAGGCAAAAUUGCCACCACUCACCAGAAUGUUGGUUUAAAACAGCCCCUGUACCUAUUAACAAUGACCCAGCUUCCACCAGCAACUUAUUCUGAACUCUCUAACUAAAUGCUCCUUGUUCAUAUUCCUCAAAGUUGCUUUUCACUGCUUCUCAUGAACUUAUGUAUCACAUUACCUAACUUACAGUUAUAUGAAGAGAGGGACGCGGCAGAGGGGGGGGGGGGGAAGGGGGCGGAGAGAGCAUGAUCACAGAAUAUGAUUAUGAAGUGUCAGCAAAAAGGUACGAAUGUUGCUUCUAAAUGGAGACAGUAUGCAACCAUAUCCCUAUCAUCAUUCUGUUUCGUUGGCAUGAUGAACGCAACCUCAAGGCAGAAAAGAUCAAAUGGCGGAAACCAAACCAGCGCUUCACAUAAAUCUGAUCCAGAUGCUCAAAAACAUAGCCGAGAAAAAAAGGAAGACCGGGAGUUGCCUGUCAUGUCCUUAUGCUUCAUGAUAAGCAGUCUCAAGCUUUCGGUUCCAAGUGGUGUGGCUAGGCCAAAUGCCAUAACUUAAUUGCUCUUAGUGAACAUUAUCUUCACACUGAAAACUUGAUCACACAAAACUUGGCAUAUCUGGCAAUGAUCAGUACCAGGAGAACUCUGGCUUUGUACAUUGGUCAAGUCUGAAGCCAGAAGUAGCAGUCGAACAUCUUUACGUAUCCAGAUAAAGCAUUCUCUCAGCAGAAGUUUUUGCUCUUGUUGGGCUUUGAGGAGCCGCUAGUCCCUACUUUCUUAUACUAUGAAAUUCCUAAAGAAUCAUUAGAGUAGUUCAGAGCGUCCUAUUUCUCUAUCACGUUCCUCCUUACUACGACCGCCGUCUGCCGCUGGUUAUCCAGCUGAGAACUGGGGAACCGUGUAGGCAUAAUUGUCAUGCCCUGGGUAAGAGCCAGUGAUGUGGUAGAUGGUUGGCAGAGUGCAGGCUUGACGCUAGGCCCCCAGUCAACUUGAUUGUGCCUGCAAUCCAAACAAUUAAUUAACUAGAAUCAAGUGGUUCAGAAGCGAAAUCGCGAGGCCAAGUAGUUAAGCAAUUCAACAGAAAAGAAAAAAUACAAAGAGAAAGAAACAAAUUGAAAGUUGAUCUAGUUGCAGCUUUGAACAAAAAGUGCAGGAUGGCAUUAUAAAGAUGACAAAUAUUUCAACCUUCCAAAUAAAAAAAAAAGAUAGGCAAAAUUAAUAAACUAAAUUAGCAUAGACCUUCAAAAGGAAAGUAAGACAAAAUUAACAAACUAAAUUAGCAUAUCUCAUGUCAUUCGUUUGUCAGAUAGACAUUUUACAUACUAAUAAACAUGUAGCCAACAAUUACAUUUUACAUAUUAAUAAACAUGUAGCCAACAAUGUGUAAGGAAUAAAAUCUUUAAGCAACUAUGAAGAUGCAUUCUAGGAGUGCAGAAUGCUCAAUAUUUCAGGAAAAGAAAAGAAUUUGAAUGACGUUACUGAUGCAAUUGCCUGCCGCUAGUUUAACCACAAAAUGUAGAUGGCAUAGUCAUUUGGACAUGUGAUUUAAUUUUUUUUUAAAAAAAGAAGAGCAUGGGGCUAGACGCAGACCACCCUUUCAGACAUAGAGCAAUAGUGCAUUCUGCUUUUAAAUAAAUCCAGCAAUGACUGUCAAAAGAUUAUUACUCAACUACUAAAAUUUGUAAACUUCCAAACUUAUUCUGUUGGCAACAAACUCAAGAAAUAAGAAUAGAAAAAAUUCCGGCAAUGGUGGAGCACAAAGUAUCAAAAAUAUCAAGUACAAACAAGCAUCCUGGAUGCUACUUUUUCUUAGAUAUUCUUGUCACUUAAACAAAUACAUUUGAGUAACCAAUAAAAAUAGGCUGAUUAAGAUUAAGUCAAGUCAAGAAAUGAAGAAAAGAAUACAUGAAACAUGAAUAAUGCCCAAUUGCAAUGAAUUAUUUCAUGAACAAGAAGAGUUAUUCAGCUUCACGUCAUGUAAAGUUUACAAGAGGACAAGAAAUAUAUUUAAAAAACAAUAAUUGAUAUCAGAAAAAUAGUUCCAAUUAUUCUUCUCGCAGAUAUCACUACAUAGAAUCAAGGAGAUCAUGAGACAACUAACCUGAGCAAGAUUUUGCUCAUAUGGCCCAAGAAUGCCAAUUGGCUGUGGAUAUACCGCUCCUGAUGUUAACUGAGACAUGUACCUGCUUGAUUCCAGGGAACUUGAUUGAUUUGAUAAUCCUUCAGCAGACCCAAAAUCGCCUGGGAACUUAUAGAAACCAAGGCUACUAUUUCCAGAAAGGUCCCCUCCCCCAAAAGAUCCAAAAGGUACAUAGAAGCCUGAACUUGGCCCAAAAAGUGCAUUAUCAACUAAGCUUUCUUGUCCACUAGUUGCUGGUGCCAUUAGAUCAGUCUGUGAGACUGUAAGAGCUGAACUAACAUGUGGUAGUCCAGGUGAAACUGCUGGAAAAUAAGGUGGUGUCACUGGGAUCUGGUGCGGAGAGUAAAACUGGCCAUCAAUCAUUAUUGUGGAGAUUGGACUCGGAAUGGGAGAGAACUGUCCAUAUGCCAUCUGGGUGUCAUAGCCAUAACCAGGAGGGAAAAAUAGUGAUGGAUUUUCAUUAUACAUUCCCUACAUGUAGCAAAAUACCCAAUUUCAUAAACAGAAUAAAAAAGUCUGUCUCAUGCCUCUGUGCAUAAUUAGUCAAGGCAACAAUAUCAAAUUGAUGAAACUCACUGGAGGUACAACAUGUAAGCUGUUAGGAUUAACAUAGUUAGAAUGCUCAUCCCAGUUCCCAGUGCCAUUGUCAAGACCUGAACCAAGGAAAGAUGAAUAAUGAGUUUUAAGUACAACAAAAAAAAUGAUGAACAAUGAAAACUUUAUGUACAUUGGAGAAAAGUACAAGGAACCAAAAAAGCAAAACACAUGCCAAACUAACAAACAGUGAUUCAAAGAUGUGGAAGUUGAGAAAAAUUGGUACACUACAUAUCAGUACUAAAGUAAUUAAGCCCAAUAUUCACCUCAGUAUUACAGUUUCAAACUCGUGACAUGUUGACCAGAACCUUCACAAAGAGCAUAAGAUUCACAAAUUUUAUGCUGCUGAAACCCCAUGAAAAUAUUAAGCAAGAGGGAACAACACCCCUCUCUUGCAGCCAUAAAAAGGAGCAAAAAUAAUUGUAACACCCACAAAGCAAUACAACGCCCCAUGAAAGAAUGGCAGAUACACACAGUUCAACACAGUCGAAAGCUCUGUCAUGAGAACAGAACCAACAAAGAUAUCAUGUAGCCCACAUGUAUGGUCAGAGAAACGUUGAGAAGAAGACUAUAGCUGCUAAAUCAGCAAGAACAGCACUAUAAAAGGACCUAACCUCCAAAGUAAAAACUUUGUUCAUGCGGCACAUCAAGUGGAUGCACAGUGGUAAGAGCUCCACUCUUAUCCAAGGGAACAGGCUGAUCUUUGGCAUUUCUUGGAGCCCCUGAGAUGGCUGCAUCCGGAGAAGGAUUUGCAGAAAUAAUCCUUUCAUCUUUGGGCGAAAGUGGCUGAUAAUAGAUUGAAAAGGAAGUACUAAUAGACCUAAGCUAAUGGAGAAUUAGAGAAACAAAAGAAACACAGUACAAUCAUGAGUUAUAUGGAUUUACCUGUUCUGUCACAUUAUGCAAUUCAAUAGCUCGCUCCCCUGCAUUGAAACCAAAAAAUUCAUAAAGCAACCACACACUUAAUUGGUCAAGUAAGAAAGCAUGAUACCAUUCUUAUUUUCCUCUUUCUUAUCUAUUGCAGUGUGGGAAAGAAUAUUGACCUCAUUCCCACUUUAAAAUCAUCAAGAAUAUAAGUAAUACACCAAUUAUUUACCAGUAAUACAACAGACUAAGCAACCAUUAAGAAACAUUUAGUCUCAAAACGAACAUGUCAUCCCCAGAAGCAUUAGGUACAGGACAUAUAACAAUUGCAAAGUUUUCAACUGUUGAACAAAAUCACCAUGUCAUUAAUAGAUUCCCAACAUCCGCUUAUACAUAAAAGGGCCAUCUGCACAAACUCCACGUUGGAAACAUCCCCCCCCCCAAAACACAAUUCCCAUUACCAAAUAAUAGGGAGGUGGGAUUUAGUAAUUCUAUUAUGCCUGACUGUAAGAGAUUCCAAGAUUAGGCUAAGCUUUCAUCAGAAUGGGGACAAACAUGUGAUAAUACAAGUUCGACGAGAAAAAGCACCGUUUACUUUUUCGGCACACAAAAACAUCUUUCUGAUAAGGGCACAUCAAUCAAGAAAUUUUCUGCUGAGACCUUUCUGAGUAAACUUAACAUACAUGCCACCUUUCCACAUUUACGAAUACUACUGUUAUCACCUUUCCAGGAAAAGAAGCAUGCCAGCGAUAUUAAAACACCAUAAAUGAUCCUCAUUCUAUCUUGAACCCUAAUCAGCAUGCCAACGAUAAGCUUUUUUAAUGCAGAACCAAAUGAAUGGGCUACGACUCUACAGAAAGUCAUGAAGGUAGAUAAUAGCUGGAACAAGACAGCAGGACAGUACAUUGAUCUGUACAACACAUUGAGAGUCAAGUGGUAAUCAUCCUUCCAAGUCUCGUGGUGUAAAGGAAGGAUCUCUGUUUGUGUCAUAUAGCCUCUCUCGUUGAAGCUCCAACCGUGCUCUUUUUGGCUUGUCCUUAUUGUUUCUAACUCUUAGACGAGGUUUUUUGCGCUGUUGUUAAUAGAACACCUAGCGCCAUACAAAAGUUUCAAUAAAACAGAUGAAUAAAGGACUUUUCUCUCACUUGAAACCACAAGCGAAAAUGAAUCUGACAUUUUUUAACCUUAUUUCCAUACAAUUACAUUGUUGGAGACUGCAUUUUGUCAGCUUUACAAAUUUCAAUUUACGUCGCCACUAAAUUUUGACCCUGGAGUUCCAGGAUGGCAAGCUUAUACGAUAAGGGGGCAACAAUCUAACUUGAUUCGUUGCCUAACCAACCACUAGCUGCAAAAAUGAAAAAUGUAGGCAAACACAUGAGAAGUGGAAAUUGCCUCUUUAAGGGGGCAGGGAGGGGGAAAUGAAUGUCUUUCAUACUUCCAUAUCCUUGCCUUGUGCUUAAUUCACUCAUAAGGAAAAUCUCCUCCCUCACUUAUACCCUCCAAGAUGAACAACUGACAACAAUAAAAUCAGGUUGCAAACGUACAUGUAGAACAAAAACUUAGUUUAGCCAUCCUUCAAACAUCAAAAUAAGAUGCCAGUCCUUGUUGCACAAUGACAGACUUCCUGAAGUUAGUUUAUGGUAUUCCAAAGCAAUACAGUACUUGUCGGACUCUAGUGCACAGAAAAAGAUAAACCUAGAUUGGAAAAAAGAGAUCUGGACCAUCUGGUUAUUUUACAAGAUCAGCUGUCAAAAAGAGGGUACUCAUUAGGCUCCUGUAACAUAAUGCUGUAUUUCUUCAUUCAACUGUCACCAAUUUGGGGAUUUUACAGACUUUACUGCGCAGCAGGUCAAAAUAAUUGCUUUUCAGAGAAAGAGAAGACUAGACGUACAAACAGUAAGCAUCAGUGUGUGAACUAAACACACUUCCAAAGAAACAUCAGAUUUAACCACCUUCAUAUGCCUGAUGCCACCUACAUCAUAAGAGAACUGCCAAAGUAAUAAACGGAAAAAAAAAAAAAAAAAGGAGAGAGAGAGAGACGGAAUCAGGAUUUGAAAUUUUCUCCCUGCUCCUCCUCAUCCCCAACAACUUCAUUGUACAACCAACUACUUCAAACAAUCAACAAAUAUGUGAGCGAGAGAGAAAGGAGAGGAUGAGAGAUGGUCUGUCUGAG
This 7707-nucleotide long non-coding RNA is filed under the name Coffea arabica (coffee). RNAcentral describes it as "long non-coding RNA (CARA_LNC004340)". The record is from RNAcentral. Lineage: Eukaryota; Viridiplantae; Streptophyta; Magnoliopsida; Gentianales; Rubiaceae.